UUCAAAAGACUUGUUGAACACUCAAAUUCCGAGUCUCCAAACACCCAUUCUUCAACUACCGUGAGUUUCCUCCCCAGCUUCCUAACUUAGAAACCACAGUACUAGUUUGAAUGGAGCAUUUCUCCUUCAUUUGUAGUCAAACACGGCUACGACCUUUUCUUUCCUAUAAAUAUACACAAACCUCAUAGCCAUCUCUAUACAAUCCAAUCAUCUUCCUCAUUUUCUUCAUUCAUUCAUGGCCAAGACCCUCCUCUCAGUUCUCUUCUUCAUCACCUUCAUCCUGCUCUCUUCCUACAUACAAGCCCGCCCCAUACAUGACCACAGCGCCAUGAUGAAGUCAGUUCCUGGCCUAAUGGAGAGGGCCAACCGGUAUGUUGAAGUGCUUGGCCUCUGGGGGAUCAAGAACUCUGGUCCCAGUCCUGGGGAGGGCCACUCUUUUGUUAAUGGUGCACACAAUUAAUGGGACUCCAGCUUUGCUCUCGAUGCUUAAGGAAUUCAAAGAGGAAUCCCCACAUGUUGGGAUGCUAAAUGCCAUGUGUUGGAUCAAUGGGGCCCUUGAGUUUCUGGAGUGAGCUCAAUAAUUUUCACCUUUCAAUGUAAGAUAAAAGUCAUGCUGCUGCUCCCAUAAAUACAGAGGUACAAUUGUAUCUUUCUGUGUAAAAUUAGGAAUUGGGUUAUUAGAAUUUAAUGGAAAAAAAUAAUAGAUAUGACUCAGUCAAUUCUUUUCA
Molecule: long non-coding RNA, 728 nt
Organism: Vitis vinifera (wine grape)
Lineage: Eukaryota; Viridiplantae; Streptophyta; Magnoliopsida; Vitales; Vitaceae
Exons: 2
Source: RefSeq, a predicted model, not a curated record